UGGAUCUCGUGGCAUCGGUUGGAGCAAGAUCAAGGAAUGGCAGCAGAAUCCAGAUCUGCCAUGCCCAUAGUUUGUUUCUUCUGUUCAUCUGGUCCCUGUCAACAUCCUCAUGAGCAAUGAUCCAUUCAGUUUGCUUGGAAUUUUUUUGUUGUGUAUGGAGUAGUAUAUCUUGAUAAUCUAGUAUUCCAUAUAUGUGUGGGAUGAUUUAAGGAAUUGAUUCCAUAUAUAUAUGUGUGUAUGUUGUUGUAUUUGUAAACAAAGAACGUCUGUUGAUUUUAUCCGAAAGAGACAUGCUUCUCUUGUUUGCUUCAAACAAUAUGACCAGUUUACCAAACAUCAUUUCACUCAGCCCGUGACGCCUCAUGCAACCUACCAAACACAUAUUCACCUUGGCCAGUCCCAGCACACACAAGCAACCAAACACACAUCUCAAUGUACAAUUGCAUUAGUCCAGCCAGGCCACACUCAGCCAGCAUGCUAGAUGCGAUGUAGCCAAAUGUGACCCGGGCAACCAAACACGCCCAUAGAAUGCAGCGUAUAUGCAGAUCUGACGAUAAAAUUGCAGAUGACGCUGGAGUAAAUCCGGAUAAGCAACAGCUCCUACGCCAGCUGAAGGCCGGUGAGAGCGUGCUUACGAGGGUGAGGCAGGAGAAGAAUGAUCUCCUAGAUGCCAACACCAAGCUGGGCGUGGAACUAAAAGAUGUUCGUGCCCAACUGUUGGACUUUGUUAAGGAGAAUCGGCGGCUUCGACACGGCAUAUUUAGUAAGUGCUUGAAUGAACUUUGAAAAAGAGUUCAACGAGGAAGUUGGCUGACAGAGUUAUGUCUGUAGGUAAUCUAACAGGUCGUCCUGCUGAGGAAAUGCCCGGUUCAACGGGUGACCUUCUUCCUGAGCUCUCACAGCUGCACGAACGAGCUCGGCAGGUGAUGCAAGGUGUUGCCUAGGCCUUGUGGCCAUCCGUCUCCAUACCCGAAGGCCUUGGAGAGCUUGCAGAAAAGCUGAAGGGAGAGCGGCGGUGCUUCCGAUUAUGGAAGAUAUCGGCCUGCCAUCAGGGCGCCAGGGAAGCCUGGGCAAUGGUGAAGACACGGUACACGAAGGCUGACCCGAACCACAUGGCCGAAGUCGGACUUGUGGGGCCUGAUGGGAAGGAGAUCCCUGUGAGCUUAGUGUACGGCCAAGUAGAAUUGGCCGCAAAGUAUUCCCAACAGGACUGUAGGCUAGACAGCCUACUGGAUGGUAUUGAAGAGGAAUUCAACCAGUCAAAUUGACUAUGUAAUAUUAAAGUGACAUGUAUAAUGCCUUCUAGCCGGAUUGUAGAUCAUUUGUCGUGGCGGACCUUUUCGCUUCAACCUCGGGACCCGACGGUCCGGAGUGUAUCCGAAUACCCUCUCGGUUAUGUAAGAACCGGGCAUGCAUGGAGACCAGGCGUAGGGGUCAUUAGUGCUUUAUCAGAUAAGUGCCCAACUAUUUAUGUUAUAUUACAUGGUUAGUAAGAAACAUCUUCCAGGGAGAAUAGUUCCCUUAAGGGUUCCUUUCACUGGGUAAGCAUGCCCUAAAGUGCAUGUCCGGACUGCGAUAAGAAGCACAGAAAAAUCAUCUGGGGGUAGAUAUGGAUAAUAAAUAAAAGUCAUCUUUUGUUCACCGACCGAAUAUUCCCUUAAGAACGCUAGCUUUCGGCUUCACCCAGUCUGAGGUACACGUCCGGCUGACCCGGCGGUAACAAUCGCAGAGGUGCUCCCCUUAUGCCCCAGCCGAAUUAACGGGAACGUAGGGCAUAAAUACAAGAGCCAGGCAACCCAGCUUGGCCAAAACUUAAGUCAUAUCAAUGCAUAUAAUGGUGAAAAAAGGUACAUGCGGAAGUAUAACACAUGUGUUGGGCGUGAGGCCCAGGUAAAUAAUUUAAGCUUCUAUGAAGAAGCCCCCAGGUAUGAAGAGUGCGGCUAGCGCAUCUGUAAUGUACGAGUGAGGCACAAGGUGACCCUUGAAGGCCUAGAGAAAGAAAAGAAAGAAAGGGAAACAAGACAGAUGAUGCAUAUGCAGAAAAUGGACCAAGGGAGGGGACUAACAUAGAGUCCGGUGCUAGGCGUAGAAUCUUCGAAGCCUGGCUGCGUUCUAUGGGUUCGGCUCGAGUCGACUAGUCGAUGCAUCCCGCAGUCGGUACGCUCCACCGGUCAGAACUUGGUAGAUAAUGAAGGGACCUUCCCAUUUGGGCUCGAGCUUGUUCUUUUUCUUAUCUGGCAGUCGUAGAACUAGUUCGCCAAUGUUAUAAGUUUUGGCCCGUACUUCUCUGCUUUGGUAUCUGCGAGCCUGUUGCUGGUAAAAUGCAGAACGGGCUUUGGCUACGUCGCGCUCUUCCUCCAAGGUGUCCAGACUGUCCUGCCGAUCGAGCUCGGCUUCUCUUUCUUCGUACAUGCGCACUCGAGGUGAGUCAUGAAUUAUGUCACAGGGCAGGACUGCCUCUCCGCCGUACACCAUAAUAAACGGUGUAUAUCCGGUACUACGAUUCGGCGUGGUCCGCAGCCCCCAGAGUACGGAGUCGAGCUCCUCUACCCUGUGCGUGUCAGACUCCAUUAAGGAGCGCACCUAGCUGGGUUUAAUGCCGCUCAUUAUAAGACCAUUUGCUCGUUCGACUUGACCGUUGGUUUGUGGGUGAUAGACUGAAGCAUAAUCGAGCUUGAUGCCCAUUUUGCUGCACCAGAGUUUUACCUUGUCGGCCAUGAAGUUCGUGCCGUUAUCAGUGAUGAUGCUGUGGGGGACGCCGUAAUGGUGUACAACCCCGGAUAUGAAAUCUAUCACCGGUCCGGAUUCGGCUAUUUUAACCGGUUUAGCCUCUAUCCAUUUGGUGAAUUUAUCCACCAUGACCAAUAAAUAUUUUUUCUUGUGGGUUCCCCCUUUAAGGGGUCCAACCAUGACAAGCCCCCAGACUGCGAAGGGCCAUGUAAUGGGGAUUUUUUGGAGGGCGGUGGGUGGCAUGUGGCUUUGAUUUGCAAAGAGCUGGCAACCGGCGCAACGUUGGACCAAGUCCUGUGCAUCUGCCCGGGCCGUUCGCCAAUAGAAUCCUGUAUGGAAGGCCUUGCUUACAAGAGCCCGGGCUCCGUUGUGAUGACCGCCGAGUCCGGCGUGAAUUUCUGCCAAAAGGUUCCGCCCUUCCUCUUCGGAGAUGCACUUUUGAAGGACUCCGGUAGCGCUUUUCUGUACAAUUCUCUCUCAUGGACCCUGUAGGCCUUGGAUCACCGCACUAUGCAGCGUGCCUCAUUUUGGUCCUCCGGAAGUUCCUGUCUAGUUAGGUAGGCCAGGAAUGGUUCUGUCCACGGGGCAAUAAUGGCCAUUAUUUCGUGGGCUGAAUGUGUUAUUUCGGUGGCGGAGCCUCCGAUUGUGUCAGAGAGUUCGGUAUCGGGUAUUUUGGCCGAGUCCGGACUGUUGUUACCGGUGUCCCCUUCCCAUGCUACGGAUGGCUUGAAGAGCCUUUCCAGGAAUAUGUUGGGAGGGACCGCGUCGCGUUUUGCACCGAUGCGGGCGAGGAUAUCCGCCGCCUGAUUGUUUUCCCGAGCCACAUGGUGAAAUUCGAGCCCCUCGAACCGAGCUGACAUUUUUAGGACGGCAUUGCGAUAAGCUGCCAUUUUCGGAUCCUUGGCAUCAAAGUCUCCAUUUAUUUGGGAUAUCGCGAGGUUCGAAUCCCCGCGCACCUGUAGGCGUUGAAUGCCCAUGGAUACUGCCAUCCGGAGACCAUGUAGAAGGGCCUCAUAUUCGGCUGCGUUGUUGGAGUCCGUAUACAUUAUCUGUAGUACGUAUUGAACUGAAUCUCCUGUUGGGGACGUCAAAACGAUGCCAGCCCCCAGACCAGGCAACAUUUUGGAGCCGUCGAAGUGCAUGAUCUAGUUUGAAUAUGUGUCGUACUCCUUAGGGAGUUCAGCUUUCGUCCACUCGGCGACGAAGUCAGCCAAAACUUGUGAUUUAAUAGCUCACCGUGGCUUGUAAGUUAUGUCGAACGGGAGGAGCUCAAUGGCCCAUUUGGCAAUCCGGCCCGUCGCAUCGCGGUUGUUUAUAAUAUCGUUAAGUGGUACUUCCGAGGCUACCGUUAUCGAACACUCUUGAAAGUAGUGUCGCAGCUUCCGGGAUGCCAUAAAUACCGCGUACGCUAUAUUUUGAUAAUGCGGGUACCGUGAUUUGCAUGGAGUAAGGACAGUGGAGACAUAGUAAACCGGCUUUUGAAGGGGGAAUUUGUGUCCGUCUGAUUCUCGUUCGACGACGAGCACUGCGCUUACUACUUGAUGAGUUGCCGCAAUGUAUAAUAGCAUUGGUUCGCCAAUGUUUGGCGCGGCCAGGACUGGGUUUGUUGCCAAUAUGGCUUUUAUUUCGUUGAGUCCGACCGUGGCGGCAUCCGUCCACUCGAAGUGUUUGGUGUGCCGGAGGAGGCGAUAAAGGGGUAAUGCCUUUUCUCCCAAGUGGGAGAUAAAGCGGCUUAGAGCCGCCACGCAUCCAGUCAAUUUUUGUAUUUGUUUAAGGUCUGUUGGGGUAGCCAACUGUGACAACGCUCGGAUUAUGGCCGUUAACACCGUAUUGUUGUCCACGGGAUGGUGCUCUGUGGUAUUUGGGAGGAGUAGUUCCUCACCACUUUUGGCCACCUGCCGGAGUAUCCAACAUGCUCUAAGGUUGUAUUAUGAAUUUUGUAGGGUCCGUUGAGCCAUCCCUCCAGUACGGUUCCUUGCCCCAUAUAGGGCUUUUGCUUUUUGGUAGUUAACCCAGGUGUAUUGUGAUAAUGCACCCUUUUAUUUCGGACUGGGUUUGUAUUCAGGGCCGGAUUAUCCCAAAAUUUUAUUUCGGUUUUCCAGGCGCUUUCCAUCGCACAGUACUUUCGUACUAUGGACACCAAGUCGGCAAAGCGUGUAAUUUUGCGGCGACUUAUGGCGUUGAGAAUUCCCUUGUUCGUGCAAUUAUUGCAGAAGAAUGAAAUUGCGUCUUCCUCGCGGCAGUCCUUUAUCCUGUUCAUGACCAGGAGGAAUCUGGCCCAGUAAUGGUGUACUGUUUCUUCGGGCUCUUGCCUAAUUUGGGAUAGAUCGCUUAUGUUUGGGUGGGUGGGUGGGUGGAAUUGAACCCGAAUCCUCACCCAAUCUGAGACUUAGGGGCCAAGGAGUUUCCGAACUUGGAAGUUUGGAUUCUUGGAUGUUUUCUAAUAAAUCUAGCCCGCUGCCUGACUCUAGGUUCAGGUCUUGAGUGACGUCCUCCCCUCUACGGGUAUCCGGCUUGGAGGGAUCGGGAAUCCGGACAUUGCUAGUCCUUAAGAUAGAUGAAGGGUUGCCGCAUUGUUCCUCCACCACUGCAACGUGAUGGGUGACCUGGGGAGAGUUGAUCUCUCUCAGAUCGGGUUUAGGCCCAACCUAAUCGUAGUCUGUAGCAACUCCCAGGGCGGCGAUGCGAUCCAAGAGCUCGUUCAGGGAAGAGAGCUCCAUUGGAUCUAACUGCUCGGCGAGUUCUGAGUUAACGUGAAGAUUGCUUUCGAUGACCCGAGAAGUCAUGGUUGGCGCAGCGGCCGAACAGGCAGUCAUAAGAAAACCUCCUAGCCGGAGAGUUUGGCCGAUAGCCAAAGCUCCCUUAGCAACAGUGCCGUCUUUAAAGACGGGAUGAGACAUCCUUCCUGGUGGCGACGGCAUAGCGGAACUCUCAAUGAAAGCACCAAUCUCGGUGUCAAAACCGGCGGAUCUCGGGUAGGGGGUCCCGAACUGUGCCUCUAGGCUGGAUGGUAACAGGAGGCAGGGGACACGAUGUUUUACCCAGGUUCGGGCCCUCUUGAUGGAGGUAAAACCCUACGUCCUGCUUGAUUAAUAUUGAUGAUAUGGGUAGUACAAGAGUAGAUCUACCACGAGAUCAGAGAGGCUAAACCCUAGAAGCUAGCCUAUGGUAUGAUUGUAUGUUGUGAUUGUUGUCCUACGGACUAAAACCCUUCGGUUUAUAUAGACACCGGAGAGGGUUAGGGUUACACAAGCUCGGUUGCAAAGGAGGAGAUAUCCAUAUCCGUAUUGCCUAGCUUGCCUUCCACGCCAAGUAGAGUCCCAUCCGGACACAAGACAAAGUCUUCAAUCUUGUAUCUUCAUAGUCCAAUAGUCCGGCCAAAGGAUAUAGUCCGGCUGUCCGGAGACCCCCUAAUCCAGGACUCCCUCAGUCGUGCCAGGCUUGAUGGCCGUCAACUCGUGUGGGGGCACGUCCUCUUGAUCCAUAGAUUGAUCUGGUCUGGCCGGCACUAUUGGUCAGGUUCUGACGUAGGUCGUACGUGUAACCUGGAGCCGCUGCUUCCUUGCCUUUAUGACAAGGGGCCACGGACUGGUGUUCGGCAUAAUUAGCUGUUUUGUCCCGUCCACGUGGUGGUCGGUCCGGUUGAUCAGCCUGAUUGUAGUUUGACCGUAUUGGCCCGACGGCCUUGUCGUCAAAUUGUGGCAGUAGCCUACAUUUGGGAUAACUUUUUGUUUGGUGCUCAAAGCCAUAUCCUUCUUCAGCGGCUAGGACCUUGGUCCAUCUAUUGUUCAGUGUAUCAUGUUCGGCUUUAAUCUGCUGAUGUUUCUUGUUCAGGCUCCAUGCAGUGGCGAUGAGCCAUCACUUAAAGCAUUCUUGUUCGAGGGGUUCCUCUAGGACGAUCAAUUCUUCGUCACCGAGGCUAACAUCCUCUUCGGAGACAGGUAAGUAGUUACUAUCUUUUGAAUCCUCGUGAUCGGCUUGUUCUUCGGGGCUGUAUUGAACCUCUUCCCUUUCAUCAUGCUCGAACGUAGGCUCAACGGGGUGGUCGAGGUUUUCAGUGUUGUCCAGAGUGUCAUUAUCUCCAGUGUCGGUAUUGCUUUCCCUUCCCUGACGCGAUCAUGAGCGGUGCCGCUGACGCCGGCAUUUUGGUGGUUCAUCGAUGGUCUUAUCCUCAUCUGGAUCUUGAGUGCCAUCCUCGUCCCUCUUCUUAGUGGUAUCCACCAUGUAUAUGUCAUAAGUAGAAGUGGUCGUCCAACGCCCAGUGAUGGGCGGAUUUUGACCUGGAUCGGUUUCGACACCGUCAUCCAUGCCAUCGAUGUCUUCGGAGACAUAGUCUAGCAUGUCAGUUAAAUCCUCGACAGUGGCUAUGAAGUGGGUGGUGGGUUGGACGUAAAAUUCCCUACUCUCAGCCCCCAGUUCAAGCUGGGUGUAGUUUGGAGGUGAUACUUCCGUGAUGGCGAGAGAUUGUAUAAGCUCCAGCGUUUUGUUUAAGAGCGAAAGCCGGUGAUACGUCCCCAACGUAUCUAUAAUUUUUGAUUGUUCGAUGCUAUUAUAUUAUCAACCUUGGAUGUUUUAUAUGCAUUUAUAUACUAUUUUAUAUGAUUUUUGGGACUAACCUAUUAACCCAGAGCCAAGUGCCAGUUUCUGUUUUCCCCUUGUUUCAGUGUUUCGCAGAAAAGGAAUAUCAAACGGAGUCCAAACGGAAUUAAACCUUCGAAAAAGUUAUUUUUGGAAACAAAGCAAUACAGAAGACUUGGAGUGCACGUCAGGGGAUCAACGAGGAAGCCACGAGGCAGGGGGCGCGCCCUCCACCCUCGUGGGCCCCUCGUGGCUCCCCUGAUGUAUUUCUUCCGCCUAUAUAUAUCCAUAUACCCUAAAACGAUCGGGGAGCACAAUAGAUCGGGAGUUCCACCGCCAGAAGCCUCCGUAGCCACCGAAAACCAAUCUAGACCCGUUCCGGCACCAUGCCGGAGGGGGAAUCCCUCUCCGGUGGCCAUCUUCAUCAUCCCGGCACUCUCCAUGACAAGAAGGGUGUAGUUCUCCCUCGGGGCUGAGGGUAUGUACCAGUAGCUAUGUGUUUGAUCUCUCUCUCUCUCUCUCUCUUGUGUUCUUGAUUUGGCACGAUCUUGAUGUAUCGCGAGCUUUGCUAUUAUAGUUGGCUCUUAUGUUCUUGAUUGAGUUUUCCCUUUGAAGUUAUCUUAUCGGAUUGAGUCUUUAAUGAUUUGAGAACACUUGAUGUAUGUCUUGCUAUGUGUAUCUGUGGUGACAAUGGGAUAUCACGUGAUUCACUUGAUGUAUGUUUUGGUGAUCAACUUGCAGGUUCUGCCCAUGAACCUAUGCAUAGGGGUUGGCACACGUUUUCAUCUUGACUCUCCGGUAGAAACUUUGGGGCACUCUUUGAGGUUCUAUGUGUUGGUUGAAUAGAUGAAUCUGAGAUUGUGUGAUGCAUAUCGUAUAAUCAUACCCACAGAUACUUGGGGUGACAUUGGAGUAUCUAGGUGACAUUAGGGGUUUGGUUGAUUUGUGUCUUAAGGUGUUAUUCUAGUACGAACUCUAGGGCUGUUUGUGGCACUUAUAGGAAUAGCCCAACGGAUUGAUUGGAAAGAAUAACUUUGAGGUGGUUUCGUACCCUACCAUAAUCACUUCAUUCGUUCUCCGCUAUUAGUGACUUUGGAGUGACUCUUUGUUGCAUGUUGAGGGAUAGUUAUAUGAUCCAAUUAUGUUAUUAUUUUUGAGGGAACUUGCACUAGUGAAAGUAUGAAUCCUAGGCCUUGUUUCAACGCAUUGCAAUACCAUUUGUGCUCACUUUUAUCAUUAGUUACCUUGCUGUUUUUAUAUUUUCAGAUUACAAAAACCUUUAUCCACCAUCCACAUACCGCUUGUAUCACCAUCUCUUCACCGAACUAGUGCACCUAUACAAUUUACCAUUGUAUUGGGUGUGUUGGGGACACAAGAUACUCUUUGUUAUUUGGUUGCAGGGUUGCUUGAGAGAGACCAUCUUCAUCCUACGCCUCCUACGGAUUGAUAAACCUUAGGUCAUCCACUUGAGGGAAAUUUGCUACUGUCCUACAAACCUCUGCACUUGGAGGCCCGACAACGUCUACAAGAAGAAGGUUGUGUAGUAGAUAUCAAGCUCUUUUCUGGCGCUGUUGUCGGGGAGGUUAGCGUUUGAAGGUAUAUCUUUAGAUCUUGCAAUCGAGUCUUUUUGUUUCUUGUUUUAUCACUAGUUUAGUCUAUAAAAGAAAAUUAUAAAAAAUAUGGAACUAAGGGUACCUCAUAUGCUUCAUCUUUUUAAUAUCUACCAUGAAAAUAAGGAUUCUGAUAAUUCUGCUCAAGUGCUAGAGGAAGAAUGCAUUAGAAUGUUUGGCACUAAAUCUUUGAAUGAUGAGCACGAUUGCAAUGUUGUUAGUAUGGAUUCCUUGAAUAUCUAUGAUGUUAAUGAUAUGCAAAGCCACAAGCUUCGGGAAGCUAUGUAUGAUGAAGAUGAUAUUUUUUUGUCCCCUAAGCUUUGAUGAGCAAAUUUAUUAUGAUGAAAGCAUGCCUCCUAUUUAUGAUGAUUAUAUUGAUGAAAGUGGAAUUGGAGAGGUCAUGACUUUAUUUUGUGAUGAAUCCACUAUUUCGGAAGAGGUUCCAAUUGAUUAUGAGACAAAGUUGCUAUCUAUGAUGAUUAUUGUGAUGACUUGUAUGCUAUAAAUAAUAAUGAUAUCCAUGAAACUUGUCAUCAUGAUUUUAGUUUUCAAUUGGAUUAUGCCUCACAUGAUAAUUAUUUUGUUGAGUUUGCUCCCACUAUUAUUCAUGAGAAGAAUUUUGUUUAUGUAGAGAGUGGUAAAUUUUCUAUGCUUGUAGAUCAUGAAAAUGAUUUAGGUGUUGGUUAUACUGUUGAAUUCAUUCAUGAUGCUACUGAAAAUUAUUAUGAGGGAGGAACAUAUGCUUGCAGGAAUUGUAAUAAUAUCAAGUUUCCUCUCUAUGUGCUUAAAAUUUUGAAGCUAUGCUUGUUUUACCUUCCUAUGCAAGUUGAUUCUUGUUCCCAUGAGUUGUUUUCUCACAAAAUCCCUACGCAUAGGAAGUGGGUUAGGCUUAAAUGUGCUAGUUGAUGAAGCUAUGUACCUAGGGUAGGGUCAUGGACCUAUCCUAACUGCCCUACCCAAGGACAUCUCUAGAAGAAAUCACCUUUCAAUCGACUUGGAGGUGUUCCACUCGACAAACUCGAAGACACUCGACCAAGAAGCAAUCACCCGACCAAGAUCCAACCACUCGACGGCCAGGAGGCCUAAAGUCACUCCGCACGCUAACGGUCGGUCAUUAAGUAGCCUUUAUGGUCAUCAUAGCACUUUAUUAGGGGCGUUGCCAGCAACGCCCGACCUUAAUGUAUUUAAAACCCUACAUAACUAAGGGCCGGAGGGGGCUGGCGAACUCUAUAUAAGCCAACCCCUCCUCAGUGUAAAGGGUUCGCACCCCUGUGAUUCAUACAUACGUAAUCCAGUCGACCGCCUCCGGGCUCCGAGAUGUAGGGCUUACAACUCGUAAACCUCGUGUGCUUACAACUACUCCAUACCUAAGAUCUUGCCUCUCCAUACCUAGCCCCCUACAUUACUAUCAGACUUAGAACCACGACAGUUGGCGCCCACCGUGGGGCAGGUGUAUUAGCGAUUUGUUGGAGGAGUUGCGAUCUUUUCCGAUCCAAAUCAUCAUGGUUUCUGGCGGAGUUUUGGUGGAGGGCCGCGAGAUCCGUCUCGGCGCGCUCAAGUUCAUCACCGACGACUCCGCUUGGCUUCAGGAGGCUCCACUCGACGUCGACGCACUCCCUGUCCGUGGGGCAAUGCACUUUCGCGCGUGCGUUCGCGGCGUCCUCUUGUGGCAACCGUCGACCCAUUAUCGUCCGGCCCCUGUUUUGUCCCCCCUCCCUGUUUCCCGCCAGCGCAAGCGCUCCGGUCGGUUGAGACUUCAGCGGUGGGUGAGACACGCGGUGGCACGCCAGUCGGCCACCCCUCAAGUCGCGGCGAUCGAGCCCGACGAAUCCCUCUACGGCAUGUUCGACCUGUCGACUGGCAGUGAUCCGGCAGCGGAGGUUCUGAUGGUCGAUGGACCGCGCAGUCCUCCCGGUUUUUCUCGCACCGACGGAGGCGCAGGUGGAGGCGACCCGUCGCAUCCCCAUGAGGAAUAUCUCCCCGAGCCUCUCACGUCGCUGCAGAGAGAAGAACUUCGUCGCCGGAACAUGGAUGCACUGCACACUCCUAUCGUUGGAGAAACCCCCGAGGCUCGUGCCUUGGAGGAUGCGCGCCUGGCAAACUUGGCUGAGCGCACUCGACUGGAGAACCUCCAGCGAGCACUCGACGAGCGUGCACGACAAUGGGUUCCAGAAUCAAGUCGGCGUCAGCUCUUUCCGCCCCCGCAGGUAUAUCGAACUCCGAUUCAGAAUUUAGCAGCUGCAGCCCGUAUAGCAGAGUCGAUUCAGUCUUCCCAGUCAGAGGCUGGCAGAGGCUUGCUGCAGAUCAGAGCGUUACUCUGGGCAGCAGGAGACCAGAAUUCCGCUGUUUCUCAGUCGCAGAACAGGAUUCAUAGCAGAUCCAUUGCUGCAGACACAGUCCAGUCGGCUCAUAGCCCAAGAUCGCCCCCGAGGCGUGAGGGACGUGGGGACCGGCAUGAUCAGUACGGAAACCGUGAGCAGUAUGAUCACCGAUUCGAUCGUGAUGAUCGACGUCGAGUGUCCACCCCUCCCCCGAGGAGUGGAUCGUAUGUGCCUCGACAGCAGGAUGACACGCGCCCUCAUAGUGUUGGGCGAAGGAUUCCAGUCGACCCCAGGGAACCAGGCUUUGAUGCGAGAUCCAUUCUCGUUCAAGGUUUGGUCGACAAGAACAGAGCUCACCGAGAAGGUCAUGAUAGAGAUGCACCUACCAGCAGCAGAGUACAUGUUUCGGGGCCAGAGUGCUCUAGUAGAGCCAUCAGGGCCGCUGUGAUUCCUCCCAACUUCAGGUUGGCGACUGGAGUCAGUAAGUUCACUGGUGAGUCCAAGCCCAAUACUUGGCUUGAAGACUACCGAGUGGCUGUCCAGAUUGGCGGUGGCAAUGAUGAAGUGGCCAUGAAGCACCUGCCUCUCAUGUUGGAGGGCUCGGCCAGAGCGUGGCUGAAUCAGUUAGCACCCAGCAGCAUUUACACUUGGGAAGAUCUUGCUCGAAUGUUCGUCACCACAUUUGAAGGAACAUGCAAGCGACCGGCAGGGCUGGCGGAACUACGGUCUUGCGAGCAGAAGCCGAACGGAACUUUGAGGGAUUACAUCCAGAGAUGGAUCACGUUACAUCACAUGGUAGAGAAUGUGCGUGAUCACCAAGCAGUCUGUGCCUUCAAAGAAGGCAUCAAGUACAGAGAACUGAAUCUGAAAUUCGGUCGAACCGGAGACAUGUCUCUGAAUCGGAUGAUGGAGAUUGCCACCAAGUACGCUAAUGGUGAAGAUGAGGAUCGACUCCGGAGUGGCAAGCACAAGUCAGUCGCCCAAGAAACAGGAGGAGGAAAUUCCAAUCAGAAACAGAAGCGGAAAGCCAAGCCAGCUGCUCCUGGGGAAGCCUUGGCUGUAACUCAAGGAAAGUUUAAGGGGAAACCCAAAGGGCCUUGGAACCCCAAGAAAGUUAAAGACCAAGACGGAAAUGAUGUGUUGGAUUUGCCAUGUCACAUCCACACCAAGAAAGAUGAAGAGGGUAAGCUCAUUUACCCGAAACAUACCACUCGACAGUGUCGGCUCUUGAUCCAGCAGUUCCAGGGCAAACAGCCCAAAGAUAAGGAAAAGGAGUCGGACAAAGUUGAGGACAAGGAAGACAGUGAUGAUGGAUACCCCCAGGUCAAUUCCACCUUGAUGAUUUUUGCUGAUGUUGAAAGCAAAAGUCGACUGAAAGUUAUCAACCGUGAGGUGAAUAUGGUUGCUCCGAUGACACCCAGUUAUCUGAAGUGGUGUCAGACUGCCAUCACAUUCGACCAGUCCGAUCACCCAACGCACAUUGCCACCCCUGGGAGGCAAGCUUUGGUGGUCGACCCAGUUGUUGAAGGCACUCGACUGACCAAAGUCUUGAUGGAUGGUGGCAGUGGUUUGAACAUACUAUAUGUCGAGACGUUGACAGGGAGGGGCAUUCCGAUGUCCAGACUCAGUACCAGCAACAUGAGUUUCCAUGGAGUCAUUCCUGGGAAGAAGGCUGAGUCACUCGGCUAGAUUGCUCUUGAUGUGGUUUUCGGUGAUUCCAAGAAUUACCGCAAAGAAAAGUUGACGUUUGAAGUUGUGGAUUUCCAGAGUGCUUAUCACGCUAUUUUGGGCAGGCCAGCUUACGCACGCUUCAUGGCUCGACCAUGUUAUGUAUAUCUCAAAUUGAAGAUGCCUGGUCCCAAAGGUGUGAUCACUGUUACGGGCAACCGGAAGAAAGCAGAAGAGUGUUUUCAGAAAGGCUCAAAGAUCGCUGAUGCUCAGAUGGUAGUGGUGGAGCUGCAGGAGUACCAGAAGACUGCAGACCCGAGUGAUUUGUUGCGAGCCAAGAAGCCCGCUACAGAAUCAGCUUUUCAGUCGUCUGGUGAAACGAAGCCGGUUCACAUUCACCCGACCGAUCCCAGUGCUGCUCCGACUCAUAUCUCAACAACACUCGACUCCAAAUAGGAAGAAGCGCUCAUCUAGUUCCUCCGUGAGAACUGGGACAUCUUCGCAUGGAAACCUUCCGACAUGCCGGGUGUUCCCAGGGGGCUGGCUGAGCACCGCCUACGAGUCGACUCAAAAGUGAAACCCGUCAAAGAACAUCUCCGACGGUCCGCCGUCCAGAAGAGAAAGGCUAUUGGUGAGGAGGUGGCUCGGCUCUUAGCAGCGGAGUUCAUCCGAGAGAUUUACCACUCCGAGUGGCUCGCCAACAUUGUUAUGGCCCCCAAGAAGGACAAGUCACUUCGCAUGUGCAUUCGCUUUAAACAUAUCGAUCGGGCCUGCCCGAAAGAUCAUUUUCCUCUCCCCCGCAUCGACCAGAUAGUCGACUCGACUGCGGGAUGUGAGCGACUGUCUUUUUUAGACGCCUAUUCCGGGUACCAUCAGAUUCGUCUGUAUGGACCUGACGAGAUCAAAACAGCUUUCAUCACUCCAUUCGGGUGCUUCUGUUAUGUUACCGUGCCAUUCGGCCUCAAGAAUGCCGGAGCCACAUUCAUGAGGAUGAUUCAGAAGUGUUUGGUCACUCAAAUCAGUCGGAAUGUGGAAGCAUACAUGGAUGAUAUUGUGGUCAAGUCACAGAAGGGUACCGACCUGCUGACUGACCUUGCUGAAACCUUUGCCAACCUCAGGAGGUAUGAUAUCAAGCUUAAUCCAUCAAAGUGCACAUUCGGAGUUCCUGGCGGAAAGUUACUCGGUUUUCUUGUUUCCGAACAGGGAAUUGACGCCAAUCCAGAAAAAGUCGGUAAUAUACUCCGGAUGAAACAUCCCGUGCGAGUGCACGACGUCCAGAAGCUUACUAGUUGCUUGGCCGCUUUAAGUCGAUUCAUCUCUCGUCUCGGUGAAAAGGCAUUGCCUCUUUACCGAUUGAUGAAGAAGUCAAACAAGUUCGAGUGGACUCCUGAAGCUGAUGCAGCGUUUGCAGAGCUCAAAGCUCUGCUCUCCACCCAGCCGGUGCUUGUUGCCCCAAUCAGCAAACAGCCUUUGCUGCUUUACAUCGCAGCCAUGGGACAAGUCGUCAGUACGGUACUUACGGUCGAGCGGGAAGAAGAAGGAAAAGCCUUCAAAGUUCAGCGCCCAGUAUAUUAUAUUUCUGAAGUUUUGACCCCGUCGAAGCAAAGAUAUCCUCAUUAUCAGAAGCUUGUAUAUGGGAUUUAUAUGACCACAAAGAAGGUUGCUCACUACUUCUCUGAUCAUUCCAUUACAGUCGUCAGCAACACUCCAUUGUCAGAGAUCCUGCACAACAGAGAUGCAACUGGUCGAGUGGCAAAAUGGGCGAUUCAACUCCUUCCUCUAGAUAUCAAGUUUGAGGCAAAGAAAGCUAUCAAGUCCCAAGCAAUAGCAGAUUUCGUCGCCGAGUGGAUUGAACAACAGCUGCCGACUCAGGUUCACUCGGAGCAUUGGACCAUGUUCUUCGACGGUUCCAAAAUGCUGAAUGGUUUCGGUGCCGGGGUAGUAUUGGCCUCCCCCCGAGGAGAUAAGCUCAGAUAUGUUCGUCAAAUCCACUUUGAUUCCUCCAAUAACGAAGCAGAAUAUGUAGCACUUUUAUAUGGGUUGCGCAUGGCCAUUUCACUCGGCGUCCGUCGCCUCAUGGUUUAUGGCGACUCAGAUUUGGUGGUUAAUCAAGUGAUGAAGGAUUGGGACGUCAGAAGUCCGGCCAUGACUGGUUAUUGCAAUGCGGUGAGAAAGCUGGAGAAGAAAUUCGAGGGGUUAGAACUUCAUCACAUACCUUGACUGAAAAAUCAAGCAACUGAUGAUUUGGCAAAAAUAGGUUCCAAAAGAGAAGCCAUUCCCAGCAAUGUGUUUUUGGAACACAUCCACACACCAUCACUUCAGGAGGAUCCCUUCACUGAAGAAGCCCCGCAGCCAAAAAGUGCCACGGAUCCGAUUGAAGUUGAAGUUCCAGCUGUGGUCGACCUGAUCAUGGAAGUUUUGGUCAUCACUACCGACUGGACGGUACCGUACAUCGCGUAAAUCCUAAGGAAAGAACUCCCAGAGGACAAAGAAGAGGCUCGAUAGAUCGUCCGUCGAUCCAAGGCCUUUACAGUCAUAAAGGGACAGUUGUAUAGAGAAAGCGCGACUAGAGUCAGUCAGAAGUGUAUAACACCAGAAGAAGGUCAGAUAAUCCUUGAUGAUAUCCACUCGGGGACCUGUGGUCAUCAUGCGUCCUCUCGGACCAUUGUGGCUAAAGCAUACCGAGCGGGAUUCUACUGGCCAAGGGCGAAUGAAAUGGCAAAAGAGAUAGUCGACAAAUGUGAAGGAUGUCAGUUUUACUCCAAUAUGUCGCACAAACCUGCGUCAGCCUUGAAAACCAUUCCACUCGCCUGGCCCUUCGCUGUUUGGGGACUGGACAUGGUUGGACCACUAAGUACGGGCAGGAGCGGCUUCACUCAUGUGCUAGUAGCAGUCGACAAGUUCACCAAAUGGAUUGAAGCUAAGCCUAUCAAGAAUCUUGAUGCUUGCACUGCUAUCAGUUUCAUCAGAGAGUUGAUAUUCAGAUAUGGAGUUCCACACAGCAUCAUCACUGACAAUGGGUCAAACUUCGAUUAUGACAAAUUCAGAGCCUUUUGCGCCUCUCAAGGCACACGAGUCGACUACGCUUUAGUCGCUCACCCCCAAUCGAAUGGACAAGAGGAAAGAGGAAGCGGCUUAAUUCUCAAAGGACUGAAACCCCGACUGAUGCGCGAUCUCAAGCACGCAGCAGGUGCAUGGGUCGAUGAGCUUCCAUCAGUUCUUUGGGGAUUGAGGACAACCCCGAACCGAUCGACUGGAAGAACCCCAUUCUUUCUGGUCUACGGAGCUGAAGCAGUUUUGCCGAGUGACCUGCUUCAUAACGCACCCCGAGUCGAGCUCUAUUCUGAAGAUGAAGCAGAACAAGCCCGGCAGGACGCAGUCGACCUCCUGGAAGAAGAAAGAGAAAUGGCCAUGAUCUGAUCGACCAUCUAUCAGCAAGACUUGCAUUGAUUCCAUGCCAGAAAUGUGAAGAGUCGAGCCUUCCAAGAAGGUGACUUGGUCCUCCGAGUGGAUCAACAGAAACCACACAAACUCGCUCCUACUUUGGAAGGUCCCUUCAUAGUCACCAGAGUCCUCCACAAUGGAGCGUACCACCUUUAUAAUGUUGAUCGCCAGAUUGAUGAGCCACGAGCCUGGAAUGCGGAGCUACUCCGCCCCUUUUAUACUUGAAUUCUCACUCAGAUGAGAUGUAAUAAGAAAAACUUCUGUAGUUUAUUUAUCAAAGACAAGAGCGUUAUAAUUUUCCCAGUGAUUGUUAUUGUUUUUGUUUGCGUGAGAAAUCCCCCAGUGGGUGGCUUAGCUGCGAAUCCGUUUCGCCUAAGUUUGUAAAAA
This 16738-nucleotide long non-coding RNA is filed under the name Triticum aestivum (bread wheat). RNAcentral describes it as "long non-coding RNA (TAES_LNC014442)". Lineage: Eukaryota; Viridiplantae; Streptophyta; Magnoliopsida; Poales; Poaceae. The record is from RNAcentral.